RNAcentral lists this transfer RNA (94 nucleotides) under bacterium. RNAcentral describes it as "tRNA-Ser". It matches the Rfam family "tRNA". Rfam says of the family: Transfer RNA (tRNA) molecules are approximately 80 nucleotides in length. Their secondary structure includes four short double-helical elements and three loops (D, anti-codon, and T loops). The record is from RNAcentral.
GGAGAGGUGUCCGAGAGGCUGAAGGAAGCGGUUUGCUAAACCGUUAUACGCCUUUAAAAGCGUAUCGAGGGUUCGAAUCCCUCCCUCUCCGCCA